The sequence is a regulatory RNA element, 104 nucleotides long. It matches the Rfam family "pan motif". The record is from Rfam.
GUGAUAAUAUCCUAAGGAAUUAUACACAAAACUUUUGUCAAAAAUAAAAACAAAUAAUUAACUGUUAUUAUCUGCUUUGAGCCUUGAAGGACAGAGACAGUGAU